This 269-nucleotide unclassified non-coding RNA is filed under the name air metagenome. Its description in RNAcentral is "partial contains small subunit ribosomal RNA, internal transcribed spacer 1, and 5.8S ribosomal RNA". The stretch from base 1 to 46 matches the Rfam family "Eukaryotic small subunit ribosomal RNA", at positions 1786 to 1831 of the family's 1831-position model. The record is from RNAcentral.
AAGUCGUAACAAGGUCUCCGUUGGUGAACCAGCGGAGGGAUCAUUACGAGAGAGUUGCAAGACUCCCAAAACCCCAUGUGAACGCAUUACAGAAAAGCAUUCAAUGUUGCUCCGGCGGGCGGCCCCUGGGAGGGGCCGCCGCGGCCCGGUCGGUCAAUACCGGGCGCCCGCCGGAGGGACGCAACCACAAAACCAUUCAGUACGCAAUGCCAUCUGAUUCAGAAAAAAACAAUCAGUUAAAACUUUCAACAACGGAUCUCUUGGUUCUG